RNAcentral lists this long non-coding RNA (464 nucleotides) under Rattus norvegicus (Norway rat). RNAcentral's name for it is "long non-coding RNA NONRATT032326". Lineage: Eukaryota; Metazoa; Chordata; Mammalia; Rodentia; Muridae. The record is from RNAcentral.
GAUAAUGACUUGGAGAACCGAGACUCCACUUUGGUCAAAGCAAGGUAUUUCCUAUUGUGAAAGAGACCUUUGAAAGCGGAAAGGUCCCAGAACUUCUAAUUUUGACUGUUUGCCUGACCACUUCUGGGGCGGAUCUGGACAGAGGGCAUCUCGUUCCCAGGCUGGUUCUGUGGCUGGAAUUUACAGAAGCUCAUUCCCAUACACCCGCUUCCUCUCUCCGCCAUCUGUUUGUUCGGCUGCCAACAAUCCAAGCUAUUAAGCAAAUGGAGAUGACACGGAAUUUGAAAACAAGCCUGCUGCUCAGCGUGACGAGAGUCACAGUGGCCCUCUCUCCUCGUGGCUCUGCUCUUCUGGCUGACAGCCUGAGGGAAGUCACUUAAGCUCUCUGGGCUUCUGCCGGGCCUCAAAUUUCUUACCGUCGAAGGACGAAGUAAAAUCCCGAGGAAACAUCUUGAAAAUGGGUG